UACACUCCUACGGGAGGCAGCAGUGGGGAAUUUUGGACAAUGGGCGAAAGCCUGAUCCAGCAAUGCCGCGUGCAGGAUGAAGGCCUUCGGGUUGUAAACUGCUUUUGUACGGAACGAAAAAGCUCCUUCUAAUACAGGGGGCCCAUGACGGUACCGUAAGAAUAAGCACCGGCUAACUACGUGCCAGCAGCCGCGGUAAUACGUAGGGUGCGAGCGUUAAUCGGAAUUACUGGGCGUAAAGCGUGCGCAGGCGGUUAUGUAAGACAGAUGUGAAAUCCCCGGGCUCAACCUGGGAACUGCAUUUGUGACUGCAUGGCUAGAGUACGGUAGAGGGGGAUGGAAUUCCGCGUGUAGCAGUGAAAUGCGUAGAUAUGCGGAGGAACACCGAUGGCGAAGGCAAUCCCCUGGACCUGUACUGACGCUCAUGCACGAAAGCGUGGGGAGCAAACAGGAUUAGAAACCCUAGUAGUCC
Molecule: ribosomal RNA, 472 nt
Filed under: uncultured organism
Description: partial 16S ribosomal RNA
Rfam family: Bacterial small subunit ribosomal RNA
Source: RNAcentral